AUGUAACAGUAUAUCAGAGUCCAU
Molecule: non-coding RNA, 24 nt
Filed under: Arabidopsis thaliana (thale cress)
Lineage: Eukaryota; Viridiplantae; Streptophyta; Magnoliopsida; Brassicales; Brassicaceae
Source: RNAcentral